AUGGUUCUCGUCCGCUACGGCGUCACUUACCUCAUCGAGCACCCCCCUCCCCCCAACGCCGACGCCCAGUACCUCGAACUCAACACUCAUGUCGUUCUCUGGAUGUAUUCCACCCUCGCGGACACUCUCGUUGAUCAUGUGAUCGGCGCCACCAACACCCACGCGCUCUGGACACGGAUCCACGACUACUUCCUCUCCAAUCGUGCCCCCCAGUACAUGAUGCUGAACAAGCAGUAUCGCAACCUCAAACAGGGGGAUCUCUCGGUGGACGAGUACGCGCGCCGCAUGAAGCAGCUCACCGCCGGCCUCGCCGACAUCAAUCACAUGGUCACCGAGGUCGACCUCACCACCCAGUUUCUCCACGGCCUCGACCAACGCCUCGACAACAUCCGCGUCGUCUUGGGUGACACCGUCCCUCUGCCGCCGUUCGAGACGGUCUUCUCGCGG
This 447-nucleotide ribosomal RNA is filed under the name Triticum aestivum (bread wheat). RNAcentral's name for it is "partial small subunit ribosomal RNA". The record is from RNAcentral. Lineage: Eukaryota; Viridiplantae; Streptophyta; Magnoliopsida; Poales; Poaceae.